GAAUGGAAAAAAAAAAAAAAAAUAUAUAACUCCAAGUCCACAUAGGCUCCUUUACUUCAAUCACCCAAAAAGAAAAAC
Long non-coding RNA from Xiphophorus hellerii (green swordtail), 78 nucleotides. RefSeq lists it as uncharacterized. The record is from RefSeq and is a predicted model, not a curated record. The transcript is spliced from 3 exons. Lineage: Eukaryota; Metazoa; Chordata; Actinopteri; Cyprinodontiformes; Poeciliidae.